RNAcentral lists this ribosomal RNA (218 nucleotides) under uncultured bacterium. Its description in RNAcentral is "partial 16S ribosomal RNA". It matches the Rfam family "Bacterial small subunit ribosomal RNA", at positions 328 to 539 of the family's 1533-position model. The record is from RNAcentral.
ACGCUCGACACCUACAGGAGGCAGCAGUGAGGAAUAUUGGUCAAUGGGCGCAGGCCUGAACCAGCCAAGUAGCGUGAAGGAUGACUGCCCUAUGGGUUGUAAACUUCUUUUAUAUGGGAAUAAAGUUUUCCACGUGUGGAAUUUUGUAUGUACCAUAUGAAUAAGGAUCGGCUAACUCCGUGCCAGCAGCCGCGGUAAUCUGAGCGGGCUGGCAAGGC